UACGUAGGGGGCAAGCGUUAUCCGGAAUUACUGGGUGUAAAGGGUGCGUAGGCGGCCCGGCAAGUUUGAUGUGAAACCCAUAGGCUUAACCUGUGGCAUGCAUCAAAAACUACCGAGCUAGAGUGCAGGAGAGGAAAGCGGAAUUCCUAGUGUAGCGGUGAAAUGCGUAGAUAUUAGGAAGAACACCAGUGGCGAAGGCGGCUUUCUGGACUGCAACUGACGCUGAAGCACGAAAGCGUGGGGAGCAAACAGG
Molecule: ribosomal RNA, 253 nt
Filed under: uncultured bacterium
Lineage: Bacteria
Description: partial 16S ribosomal RNA
Rfam family: Bacterial small subunit ribosomal RNA
Source: RNAcentral